GAUGAACGCUGGCGGCGUGCCUAAUACAUGCAAGUCGAGCGAACGGACGAGAAGCUUGCUUCUCUGAUGUUAGCGGCGGACGGGUGAGUAACACGUGGAUAACCUACCUAUAAGACUGGGAUAACUUCGGGAAACCGGAGCUAAUACCGGAUAAUAUUUUGAACCGCAUGGUUCAAAAGUGAAAGACGGUCUUGCUGUCACUUAUAGAUGGAUCCGCGCUGCAUUAGCUAGUUGGUAAGGUAACGGCUUACCAAGGCAACGAUGCAUAGCCGACCUGAGAGGGGGAUCAGACACACUGGAACUGAGACACGGUCCAGACUCCUACGGGAGGCAGCAGUGGGGAAUCUUCGACAAGGGGCGAAAGCCGGAGGCAGCCAGGCCGCGGGAGGGAGGAAGGUCUUCGGAUGGUAAAACUCUUUUAUGAGGGAGAAACAUAAGUGAAGGAAUAUGUGCACGUCUUGACGGUACAAAAAAAAAAAGCAACGGCUAACUGCGUG
This 497-nucleotide ribosomal RNA is filed under the name uncultured bacterium. RNAcentral's name for it is "partial 16S ribosomal RNA". It matches the Rfam family "Bacterial small subunit ribosomal RNA", at positions 28 to 507 of the family's 1533-position model. The record is from RNAcentral.